AGCCAGCAGCCGCGGUAAUACGGAGGAUCCGAGCGUUAUCCGGAUUUACUGGGUUUAAAGGGUGCGUAGGCGGGCGCUUAAGUCAGCGGUGAAAUACGGGGGCUCAACCUUCGAACGGCCGUUGAUACUGGGCGCCUUGGAUUCGGUCGAGGCGGGCGGAAUGCGACAUGUAGCGGUGAAAUGCUUAGAUAUGUCGCAGAACGCCGAUUGCGAAGGCAGCUCGCCAGGCCGAGAUUGACGCUGAGGCACGAAAGCGUGGGGAUCGAACAGGAUUAGAUACCCUGGUAGUCCACGCCGUAAACGAUGAUGGCUGGAUGUUGGCGAUACACCGUCAGCGUCUGAGGGAAACCAUUAAGCCAUCCACCUGGGGAGUACGGCCGCAAGGCUGAAACUCAAAGGAAUUGACGGGGGCCCGCACAAGUC
This 423-nucleotide ribosomal RNA is filed under the name uncultured bacterium. Its description in RNAcentral is "bacterial SSU rRNA". It matches the Rfam family "Bacterial small subunit ribosomal RNA", at positions 506 to 931 of the family's 1533-position model. The record is from RNAcentral.